This 423-nucleotide ribosomal RNA is filed under the name uncultured Glomeromycotina. Its description in RNAcentral is "SSU rRNA". It matches the Rfam family "Eukaryotic small subunit ribosomal RNA", at positions 671 to 1092 of the family's 1831-position model. Lineage: Eukaryota; Fungi; Glomeromycota. The record is from RNAcentral.
CGGUACGUACUGGCAUUGUUGGUUUCUCCCUUCUGACGAACCAUGAUGUCAUUUAUUUGGUGUUGUGGGGAAUCAGGACUGUUACUUUGAAAAAAUUAGAGUGUUUAAAGCAGGCUCACGCUUGAAUACAUUAGCAUGGAAUAAUGAAAUAGGACGUUUGAUUCUAUUUUGUUGGUUUCUAGGAUCGACGUAAUGAUUAAUAGGGAUAGUUGGGGGCAUUAGUAUUCAAUUGUCAGAGGUGAAAUUCUUGGAUUUAUAGAAGACUAACUACUGCGAAAGCAUUUGCCAAGGAUGUUUUCAUUAAUCAUGAACGAAAGUUAGGGGAUCGAAGACGAUCAGAUACCGUCGUAGUCUUAACCAUAAACUAUGCCGACUAGGGAUCGGAUGAUGUUAAUUUUUUAAUGACUCAUUCGGCGCCUUACG